Molecule: ribosomal RNA, 256 nt
Filed under: uncultured bacterium
Lineage: Bacteria
Description: partial 16S ribosomal RNA
Rfam family: Bacterial small subunit ribosomal RNA
Source: RNAcentral
GACGUAGGUGGCGAACGUUAUCCGGAAUUAUUGGGCGUAAAGGGUGCGUAGGCGGCAUAAUAAGUUAUUGGUGGGAAAUCGAGGCUCAACCUCGUGGAAACUGAUAAUACUGUUUUGCUUGAGUACAGGAGAGGUUAACGGAACUCCAUGUGGAGCGGUAAAAUGUGUAGAUAUAUGGAAGAACAUCAAUAACGGCGAAGGCAGUUAACUAUUCUGUUACUGACGUUGAGGCACGAAAGCGUGGGGAGCAAAAAGG